CGGAAUAGCAUUUGAAACUGCCUUUCUAGAGGGUAGGCGGAGAAAACGGAAUUCCACAAGUAGCGGUGAAAUGCGUAGAUAUGUGGAAGAACACCAGUGGCGAAAGCGGUUUUCUAGCUUAUACCUGACGCUAAUGCGCGAAAGCAAGGGGAGCAAACAGGAUUAGAUACCCUGGUAGUCCUUGCCGUAAACGAUGUAUACUUGGUGUAGCCGAACUCAACCUUGGCUGUGCCGUAGCUAACGCGAUAAGUAUACCGCCUGGGGAGUACGCUCGCAAGGGUGAAACUCAAAAGAAUUGACGGGGACCCGCACAAGCAGUGGAGCAUGUGGUUUAAUUCGAUGCAACGCGAAGAACCUUACCCAGGUUUGGCAUGCAGAGGACAGCGCUAGAGAUAGCGACUCCCGCAAGGGUCUCUGCACAGGUGCUGCAUGGCUGUCGUCAGCUCGUGCCGUGAGGUGUUGGGUUAAGUCCCGCAACGAGCGCAACCCUUAUCAUUAGUUGCCAGCACGUGAAGGUGGGAACUCUAAUGAGACUGCCUGGGUUAACCAGGAGGAAGGCGAGGAUGACGUCAAGUCCGCAUGGCCCUUAUAUCUGGGGCUACACACGUGCUACAAUGGCCGGUACAGAGGGCAGCCAAACCGCGACAUGGAGCAAAUCCCAAAAAGCCGGCCCCAGUUCAGAUUGCAGUCUGCAACUCGACUGCAUGAAGUUGGAAUUGCUAGUAAUGGCGU
This 732-nucleotide ribosomal RNA is filed under the name uncultured bacterium. Its description in RNAcentral is "bacterial SSU rRNA". It matches the Rfam family "Bacterial small subunit ribosomal RNA", at positions 616 to 1347 of the family's 1533-position model. The record is from RNAcentral.